GACAGAGGGUGCAAGCGUUGUUCGGAAUUACUGGGCGUAAAGCGCGUGUAGGCGGUUUGGUAAGUCGGAUGUGAAAGCCCCGGGCUCAACCCGGGAAGUGCACCCGAUACUACCAAGCUAGAGUAUCGGAGAGGUUGGUGGAAUUCUCGGUGUAGAGGUGAAAUUCGUAGAUAUGGGGAGGAACACCGGUGGCGAAGGCGGCCACCUGGACGGAUACUGACGCUGAGACGCGAAAGCGUGGGUAGCAAACAGG
RNAcentral lists this ribosomal RNA (253 nucleotides) under uncultured bacterium. RNAcentral's name for it is "partial 16S ribosomal RNA". It matches the Rfam family "Bacterial small subunit ribosomal RNA", at positions 524 to 776 of the family's 1533-position model. The record is from RNAcentral.